CUGAAUGUCUUGCGGAUCUCCUCCGGAGUCUUGCCCUUGAUCAUGUCAGCAACCGUCUGGCAGGUCAGGUCCAGCAAUCCCUUGAUGUUCAGAUAGUUGGCAGCCUGAAAAUACAGUUCCAUUAUGUCAACCAGCAAUGGCAGAAAAUAACACAAAUCACGUCCAAUUACAUGUGGAUUGAAGUGUAUUGGAAUGAAUUUGGAUGGAUUUAAACCGACUCAAUACCACCCAAUCCACGUGGCGGUCAAACGAACAAUCCCCAAAGUGUGCAAAAGUCGCAAGUACAAGCCAAAUUCUGUCUGACUAGCUAGUUAAAUUAUCUCACUGCAAACCAAAUAUCAUCCCCGCCUGUAGCUAGCUUGAUACGGGUGCAUUGUUGUUACGAAUAAUAGCAACAGCAUGAUUUAUCAACAGUGUUCCUAGCCACAUCACAGUUUUUGUGGUUGAUUGAUUCCAGAGCAGCAGGGGCUAGUACAACAUCUCUUAUGAGAUAAAAAAAAUUGAUUGGUUACGGACCUCCACCACGACGCACAACCAAUCAAUCAAUAUAUACUGAUCUAAUCCGAACCCUAGAAAGACAGUAGCAGAUCUAAUCUAACCUAUACAUAGACAGGAAUCGCAAAAGAAGCAAGGGGAGGGGAGGUUACCGACCAGGAUGAGGUCGAAGAGCGUAGCCUGGUCCACCUUGACGAACUUCGCGUCCCAGCUCUUGAGGUCCUCGCCGCCCUCGGAGGCAGCGGAGUCAGCGGGUUUGGCGGCGGCGUGGACGUGACUGUUGCAGUACUCGAUGACCUUAGAGAGGAUCCUGGAGUUGACGUUGGGGAGCGGGAUGCCGUUGUCGGCGCAGUCGUCCUCGAUCAUGUGGCGGAGAGUCUGCGACUCCAUGGCCACCGCUUCCUCCACCUCGAACUCCUCUAAGUCGGAGCUCCUGAGCGUGAUCAUCCUCUUGUUUUCGCCCUCGGACGCCAUCGAUGGAUCGACGAGAGAUGAGGCGACGAAACCCUAGCUAGUUGCAGCGAUUUGAUCUGUGAUGGUCGAUUGCGAGGGAAACGCCUCUCCUGACUACUUUUCCUUCGAUUCGCCUGCCCUGCCCUCUUUAGUUUGGCCUCAUAAGUUAUUUAUGAAAGGUAGCCGGCAAUGAACAGAUUUAGAGGUGUUUGAAUGCACUAGAGCUAAUAGUUAGUCGCUAAAAUUAGUUAAGACAUCCAAACACUCUAGCUAAUAGUUUAGCUAUUAGCUAUUUUUGAUAAAUUAAUUAAUAGUUAGAUAGUUAUUUGUUAGCUAUCUAAUUCUACUAACAAUUUUUAGUCAACUAACUAUUAGUUCUAGUACAUUCAAACACUCCAAAUCUAAAAUAAAUUAUAUUUUAAGAUGGUGUGAGUAUUAUAUUAAUUAUCUUAUAUAAUAAUAAUUAUAAUAACCAAAUUAUCCUGCACCUAUGAUUAUAUAUAUAGUUAUUAUUAUUCAUUAUAAUUUGUUUUUUAGAAUAAUAUUUAUUUUAGGAUAUUAGUAUAUGCAUUCUAGAUUCAUUGUUAUCCAUUUAAAUAUGGACAUAAAAAUAAAAGCUAGAACGGACUAAGUAUAUUUUAUCGUGGUGUAGGAAUCCUCAGUAAUAACACUUAGACAGUCAGUAGUUUACUCAUAGUUUAAUUAAAACAUUAUUUAUAGAUUACACUAUUCGUAGAGUUUAAUAGUAGAGUUUAAAUGUAGAGUAGAGUUUAAUAGUUUACUUAAAACACUAUUUAUAUACUUUUCUGCACUAUAAACUACACUAUUGUAGAGUUAAAUAUAAGUAGGAUGGGUAAGCUACUAAAGAUAGUCUUGGGUACAAACAAUUCUCAUGCUGCCGAUUCUUGCACUUUAUUUUUUUCUGUUUAUAGGGCCAAAUUUUGUUAUUCUCUCCAUAAGAAAAAACUGUGGCCAUGACCAGAUGAGCUAUCCGCGACUAGUAGUAUAUAGCAUACACUCCCUUUUGUGUAUCCUGCUACUGCCAGUGCUCAAAGAAAAAAAACAAAUGGUACACCGGGACACAUUUAUUAAUGGUCAGUCAUCACAGAUGUAGAUGUUCUUGUUACAGAUAACAAUUCUGGAACAAAAAAUCCCUUUUAUUUACAUGUACUGAAACAAACGGGGGUUCUUGUUGGCGCACAUCCUCACUCAAGGCGCACAUCCUCAAUUACUAUAGCUUAGCCUGCCCAAUGGAAACAGAUCAUGGUAGAGAAACCAAAAUCUGUUAAACUUCCUCGAUGACAAAAGCUGUAGAUUCAUAAUUGCAGGUGACAAGGGCAACCCUCGAAGAGAAUACAGUAGCUGAACAAAUGUAAAAGAAGGGAGAAAUCGACAGCAGCACCUGCAUCCGAGUGAGGACUGGGGCUCUCGCCCUUGAAGCCGUUUGCUGAGUGAGCUGGUAACCUCAACUCAGUGU
RNAcentral lists this long non-coding RNA (2425 nucleotides) under Zea mays. RNAcentral describes it as "long non-coding RNA (ZMAY_LNC003072)". The record is from RNAcentral. Lineage: Eukaryota; Viridiplantae; Streptophyta; Magnoliopsida; Poales; Poaceae.